This 693-nucleotide ribosomal RNA is filed under the name Salmonella enterica subsp. enterica. Its description in RNAcentral is "partial 23S ribosomal RNA". It matches the Rfam family "Bacterial large subunit ribosomal RNA", at positions 2238 to 2925 of the family's 2925-position model. The record is from RNAcentral. Lineage: Bacteria; Pseudomonadati; Pseudomonadota; Gammaproteobacteria; Enterobacterales; Enterobacteriaceae.
AUCCGGGUUGCGGACAGUGUCUGGUGGGUAGUUUGACUGGGGCGGUCUCCUCCUAAAGAGUAACGGAGGAGCACGAAGGUUGGCUAAUCCUGGUCGGACAUCAGGAGGUUAGUGCAAUGGCAUAAGCCAGCUUGACUGCGAGCGUGACGGCGCGAGCAGGUGCGAAAGCAGGUCAUAGUGAUCCGGUGGUUCUGAAUGGAAGGGCCAUCGCUCAACGGAUAAAAGGUACUCCGGGGAUAACAGGCUGAUACCGCCCAAGAGUUCAUAUCGACGGCGGUGUUUGGCACCUCGAUGUCGGCUCAUCACAUCCUGGGGCUGAAGUAGGUCCCAAGGGUAUGGCUGUUCGCCAUUUAAAGUGGUACGCGAGCUGGGUUUAGAACGUCGUGAGACAGUUCGGUCCCUAUCUGCCGUGGGCGCUGGAGAACUGAGGGGGGCUGCUCCUAGUACGAGAGGACCGGAGUGGACGCAUCACUGGUGUUCGGGUUGUCAUGCCAAUGGCACUGCCCGGUAGCUAAAUGCGGAAGAGAUAAGUGCUGAAAGCAUCUAAGCACGAAACUUGCCCCGAGAUGAGUUCUCCCUGAGACUUAAGGUCUCCUGAAGGAACGUUGAAGACGACGACGUUGAUAGGCCGGGUGUGUAAGCGCAGCGAUGCGUUGAGCUAACCGGUACUAAUGAACCGUGAGGCUUAACCUU